UCCCAUAAAGAAUCUCAACCUUUAAACUUUGAUCAACUCCUCUAAUCUUAAUUAUGAGAUCAACUCCUUAAUCUACAGCAUUCUUCUUCUUCUCCUCGAUCUACAAUCUCCAAGUCACCAACUCAUCUUUUGGGUAUAUGGAAGAGAGCCACCCAACUUUUGGGUGUGAAAAGGAAGAGAGGGAGGAGAGGAGGUGUGGAGAAGGGAGAGAGAAUUUUUCUUGAUCAAAAAUUCAACCACCU
This 242-nucleotide long non-coding RNA is filed under the name Elaeis guineensis (African oil palm). RNAcentral describes it as "long non-coding RNA (EGUI_LNC062207)". Lineage: Eukaryota; Viridiplantae; Streptophyta; Magnoliopsida; Arecales; Arecaceae. The record is from RNAcentral.